Molecule: non-coding RNA, 72 nt
Organism: Picea glauca (white spruce)
Lineage: Eukaryota; Viridiplantae; Streptophyta; Pinopsida; Pinales; Pinaceae
Source: Rfam
ACCCUUUCGACUCAGUAGUAGAGUAACACCAUGGUAAGGCAUAAUUCAUUGGUUCAAUUCCGGUAAAGGGCU